GUGUCAGCAGCCGCGGUAAGACAGAGGUGGCGAGCGUUGUUCGGAUUUAUUGGGCGUAAAGCGUACGCAGGCGGUUUGGUAAGUCAGAGGUGAAAGCUCGCAGCUUAACUGCGACACUGCCUUUGAUACUGCCUUUCUUGAGUAGAGUAGGGGGAAGCGGAAUUCCGAGUGUAGAGGUGAAAUUCGUAGAUAUUCGGAGGAACACCGGUGGCGAAGGCGGCUUCCUGGACUCUAACUGACGCUCAUGUACGAAAGCGUGGGUAGCAAACAGGAUUAGAAACCCCCGUAGUCC
RNAcentral lists this ribosomal RNA (292 nucleotides) under uncultured bacterium. RNAcentral's name for it is "partial 16S ribosomal RNA". It matches the Rfam family "Bacterial small subunit ribosomal RNA", at positions 505 to 796 of the family's 1533-position model. The record is from RNAcentral.